CAUGACUUGGAAUGUUAUUUUUCUACAUUUAUGUAUCGAUGUCUUGAGACAUCAACAACAUGUCUCGAGACCAUAAGAAUAUUUUUAUGUAUUUCAUACAUUUUGGGGCACAUUUAUCGAGACAUGAUUGGAUUGUCUUAAAAUGUAAGGGGGUAAGUCUCGAGACAUGAUGAUCUUGUCUCAAGACAUAAAGCAUCAAAGCUAAAUUAAGAAAAAUUCUAUCUAGUGUCUCGAGAGAGUCAUGGCUCAUUGUCUCGAGACAUAGGAAUUAAUGUCUCAAAACAUGGUUUCAUUGUCU
This 298-nucleotide long non-coding RNA is filed under the name Gossypium barbadense (sea-island cotton). Its description in RNAcentral is "long non-coding RNA (GBAR_LNC019847)". Lineage: Eukaryota; Viridiplantae; Streptophyta; Magnoliopsida; Malvales; Malvaceae. The record is from RNAcentral.